AUUGAACGCUGGCGGCAUGCCUUACACAUGCAAGUCGAACGGCAGCACGGGAGCAAUCCUGGUGGCGAGUGGCGAACGGGUGAGUAAAGUAUCGGAACGUGCCCAGUCGUGGGGGAUAACGUAGCGAAAGCUACGCUAAUACCGCAUACGAUCUACGGAUGAAAGCGGGGGAUCGCAAGACCUCGCGCGAUUGGAGCGGCCGAUAUCAGAUUAGGUAGUUGGUGAGGUAAAGGCUCACCAAGCCGACGAUCUGUAGCUGGUCUGAGAGGACGACCAGCCACACUGGGACUGAGACACGGCCCAGACUCCUACGGGAGGCAGCAGUGGGGAAUUUUGGACAAUGGGCGCAAGCCUGAUCCAGCAAUGCCGCGUGCAGGAUGAAGGCCUUCGGGUUGUAAACUGCUUUUGUACGGAACGAAACGGCGAGCUCUAAUACAGUUUGCUAAUGACGGUACCGUAAGAAUAAGCACCGGCUAACUACGUGCCAGCCGCCGCGGUAA
This 500-nucleotide ribosomal RNA is filed under the name uncultured bacterium. Its description in RNAcentral is "partial 16S ribosomal RNA". It matches the Rfam family "Bacterial small subunit ribosomal RNA", at positions 30 to 523 of the family's 1533-position model. The record is from RNAcentral.